Ciona savignyi (Pacific transparent sea squirt) is the source of this 72-nucleotide non-coding RNA. Lineage: Eukaryota; Metazoa; Chordata; Ascidiacea; Phlebobranchia; Cionidae. The record is from Rfam.
UCCUCGUUAGUAUAGUGGUGAGUAUCGCCGCCUGUCACGCGGGAGACCGGGGUUCGAUUCCCCGACGGGGAG